CUCUCGCAUUGCGUCGUGCUGGCACUUUUACUGGCCGGGUCUUAGAGCUGAGCCCGUAGCCAGGCGCCAUCUUUGACGCUGGCAGUCUUGGAUUUCUGCUGGUGUUGCUGCUGUGAGGACGGCGGGCGGCAGCGGCUAAGAAAGAAGAAAGACGUGGCAGCAAGCGGGAGUCGGGGACAGUGUCGGCGGUUCGGUAAAGUUUCUGUUCUCUGAUUUGGGGAUAUUCCCUGCCCAAAAAUUUCCUGGAAAAUUGACUAGUAUUAAGUGUGAGUAAAAGGUGUCCACUUUUUUUUAAGUUUCGAUUUUAGUUUUGUCUUGGAUAGUAUUUGGCAAGAUUUAGCCUAGA
Neogale vison (American mink) is the source of this 346-nucleotide long non-coding RNA. NCBI's taxonomy places the organism in Eukaryota, Metazoa, Chordata, Mammalia, Carnivora, Mustelidae. The record is from Ensembl.